RNAcentral lists this ribosomal RNA (490 nucleotides) under uncultured bacterium. Its description in RNAcentral is "partial 16S ribosomal RNA". It matches the Rfam family "Bacterial small subunit ribosomal RNA", at positions 30 to 507 of the family's 1533-position model. The record is from RNAcentral.
AUUGAACGCUGGCGGCAGGCCUAACACAUGCAAGUCGAACGGUAACAGGAAGAAGCUUGCUUCUUUGCUGACGAGUGGCGGGCGGGUGAGUAAUGUCUGUGAAACUGCCUGAUGGAGGGGGAUAACUACUGGAAACGGUAGCUAAUACCGCAUAACGUCGCAAGACCAAAAAGGGGGACCUACGGGCCUCUUGCCAUCGGAUGUGCCCAGAUGGGUUUAGCUAGUAGGUGGGGUAACGGCUCACCUAGGCGACGAGCCCUAGCUGGUCUGAGAGGAUGACCAGCCACACUGGAACUGAGACACGGUCCAGACUCCUACGGGAGGCAGCAGUGGGGAAUAUUGCACAAUGGGCGCAAGCCUGAUGCAGCCAUGCCGCGUGUAUGAAGAAGGCCUUCGGGUUGUAAAGUACUUUCAGCGGGGAGGAAGGGAGUAAAGUUAAUACCUUGGCUCAUUGACGUUACCCGCAGAAGAAGCACCGGCUAACUCCGUG